GAAAGAAAAAAAUGGCCAAAACAUUCACAAACGACUAAGUGUUAUCGGUGCUACUAGAUGGGGGUCCAAACACGAUGCCCUUCAUAAGUUUUUUGGUACGUUUCGCGACGGUGAAGGAGCAUUAUACACAGACGUUGUUCAAGUACUGGAAAUAGCAGUCUCAUCCACUAAAUUAAGUGUUGAAGCACGCUAUGAUGCGCAGUGUCUAUUAACGUCCUUAUUGAAGUAUAAGACUGUACUGACGGGAUUUGUAUAUCUAAGAAUAAUGGAAGCAACCACACCACUGUCCAAAUACCUACAGACGUCUGGAUUGAAUUUCAUAAAGGCGUUUGAGAUGGUUAAAGUAACUAUUUCAGAAAUUCAGGCUCAAUCACGCAAUUUUGAUCAAGUUAAGGUGGCUGCAGACCAUUUCAUUAAUGUGUCCGCAACCAUUCUUGACGAGAAAGAAUGUGAUUGUGUUAUACAGACAGAUUUGCCAAUGGUACGCAAAAGAAUAAGAAAAGUAAUGUCAGGAGAAUUAGCAAAUGAUGAUCCACUUACAGAUCCUUAAAAAAAGUUUGAAGUAGAGGUCCACAAUAGUAUUCUAGACACAGUGUUAAGAAGUCUGUCGACUCGGUUUGCAUCACACGGUGAGCUGUACUCUGAUAUGAGUUGUUUUGACCCCAACGGAUUUUCUGAGUUAUUGGAAUGUAAUAUUCCAAAAAAAGCCCUACAGAAAAUCUGCUGUCAUAUUUCGGCAACAGGCGAAGAAGCGCAGCUGUUGCUUGAGCUGUUGGACUUUG
This is a non-coding RNA of Hydra vulgaris (swiftwater hydra), 782 nucleotides long. NCBI's taxonomy places the organism in Eukaryota, Metazoa, Cnidaria, Hydrozoa, Anthoathecata, Hydridae. The record is from RefSeq and is a predicted model, not a curated record.